UAACGAAUUUGAAUGAAGAGCCCUGCUCUUUCGGCGCCAUUUUCGAGUGAUGCCCGAUCGCAUCGCUGCCGCGGGGGAGCCGCGGCUCAGCGGGGCCGCCCGCCGCCCCGCCGGUCCGCCGCCAAAAGUCACCUCCCUCCCCCUCCGCUCCUCCUCUCCCCCCUCACCCCCCCCCCGCCGCCUCGCCGCCGCUACCACCGCCGUGCUUCGGAGCGGGUGCCGCCACCGGCAUAGGCGGUUUCGACCUUUCAAUAGAGAGCUGAUUUUGGAGAACGGCUUACUCCUGUGAUUGAAAAACUCUCUCUGGAAGGUCGAUGGAGCAUGAGCAUGAAUAUGCAUAUCACUUUAAAGGCUGCUGACACUAAGAAUUAGGGGGGAAGAGGGUUCCUUAACAAAAGCAACCAGAAGGCAGGAGUAAAAGAAUAUUAA
Phalacrocorax carbo (great cormorant) is the source of this 429-nucleotide non-coding RNA. The record is from RefSeq and is a predicted model, not a curated record. Lineage: Eukaryota; Metazoa; Chordata; Aves; Suliformes; Phalacrocoracidae.